This is a long non-coding RNA of Drosophila obscura, 2381 nucleotides long. RefSeq lists it as uncharacterized. The transcript is spliced from 2 exons. The record is from RefSeq and is a predicted model, not a curated record. Lineage: Eukaryota; Metazoa; Arthropoda; Insecta; Diptera; Drosophilidae.
GCUCGUAUGUGCGCUUAACACAAACGACGACGGCCACGCUGAUCAAUUACAUUUCUAUCGGCAAACGCUACAGUUGUUCUCUGGCUUUUGAUGUGCAACACCCACGUGGCCCUGUAUUACAUAAAACCUAACCAAUUACACAACUCUACACGUGUGCAGAAUUCUAAUACAUACCUUCACUAAGACUAAUCAGCAAAACUAAAGCGGUGUUGUGAAACUUCAUAGUGCCUAAACAAAUACAUACACAUAAUGUAAAUGAGAAUUUCUUGGUCACUGGAGGUCUGCCGUGCAUUGGCGCUCUCACACCUAAAACCCCCUGCCGCAACAACCAGUGUAUUACGGCUGGCUUUUCGUCGACUAGUCCCUAUAAACCUUAAGCAGGAUUCCAACUGUACAUCAAUACCGCUGAGGCGAAGUCGCUUGAAAAUCGACGCAGCUUAAGAGGGCUGGAAUUUUGAUCAGGAUGUGAACAGCAACAGGAGUGGAGAUGUUGAAGCUUGUUGAAGGUUGUUGAAGGUUGUUGAAACCAUCGAGUCGUGAGUACGAGCAUACUCGAGCAAAUGCAUUGUAGAGUAGCGGAGCAGCGCAAAGAAAGAUAGAGUGAUAACUCGCUCUCCCAAAGAGGGAGCUUUCGAAAGAAGAGAAGUGUGGCUGUACAUAUGUAAGCACAGUCAUAUAAAGGGCACAGUUGGAUCGCGUAUUUUCGCAUUUAAUUUUCUCAAUUUUCUUUUCUUUUGCGUUUCCAAUUUAAUCUGGAUAUCCGAAAUUAAUUUGUAAAGAAAAAUCAUUAUCAUGCAGAACCCUUGAAUUAUUUUCGUUUCCUUUUUUUAUGUUAAGUAGAUUAAUCUCAUAAACAAUAAUGUUAAGCCUGGACUGACUCUAGCAAUGUCGGCUACAAUAUCAUUCUUUAUUUCCUAUCAUCUGUAUAACAUUAAUCUUGUUUCACAGCUACCGAAGCAGUUCAUUGGGCCCAACGAGCUCGUUAAGGAAAGUGUGUGUGUACUGAAAAUGAUAAUGAUGCAUUAUUUUAGUACCGAAAUGAGUAUGUUGACAUUCGUGAGUAGAAAGGCUCUGUUGUACGUUGAAUUAUGUUUUAUAUUCUUAUGUUAAGAAAAGUUGUAUUAAGGAACAAAUGGAAAUCGUUGUUAGUAGCAAUGUACAUAGCAAUUUUUUAAUCAUCAUAUAUUUCUUGCCAUCUAUACCGCUCGGUAUUUUUUUUUUUUUUGAUUAAAGUAAAGUAAAGUGCAGCUAAUCUUUUUAUAUUAUGGCGACCGCAAGGAAUUAUAGAGAUAGGAAAGACCCCGACCCCAUCCGGCGAGCUGAAGCCCAGAGCGCUGAAGCUGUAGAGAAAAUCAGCGAACCUAGCCGUGCCAGUAGACUGACUGAUUACGGUUAUAAAAAAAACAGUCGCGGCGAUAGAAGCGACUCACAAAGUUCCCUCUCGUUUUUUUAUAAUAUUAAUUGCAUAAAUUAGCAUAAAUUGAAUUUGGAUAGUUAUAAUCGUUUUUCAGCUUAAACUUAACUAUUUAAAUAUCAUAAAAAGUACUCAUUUUAUAACAGUUUUGGUCUUGUCAUCAUUUGAGAAAAUGUAAGCGAGAUGGUGUAGUUAAUUUCGCGCAAUUAAAGUUCUCAUACAUGUCAUGUUUAGAUGGUAAGUUAGUGAAUCUCCUGCUGUUCCUGAAUACUCUCCUAGCGAUUUCUUCGGAGGCUUCAUUUUCGCUUCCCACUUUAAAAUCAUAGUAGCGAGCAUAGCUGGUGGUCCCGUUCACAUUUAAAAUGAAAAUUGUAUUUUUCUUAAGAGAGGAAAUGAGAAAAUUUUCGCAGAGAGAAAACAAAGCAAAAAAUUAUUCUUAAAAAUUACUUGAAAGAUUACAUUCCACUUUUGUUUAUAUUCGGUUGCAAGUAUUUCCAAGAAAUUAAAUAAAUAUUGAAAUUAGAGCGAAUAAUAAUGAUAAUAACGAUAAUAAUGUAAUACGGUGUUGCAAGGGAAAUACUCGAAUACUUGAAUUUUGUUUCUCAGUUCUAAAGGCAUUCCUCUAUCAUUUACUACAGUUUAAAGUGGUAGCAGAUGACAAUAAUGAAAUGAAUGACAAAAUACACUCAUUGGAGCUCACCAUCAACCAUUUUUAGAGUCUAAAAAUGAUUCAGAAAUAAAAUGUAUAUAAAAUCAAGGUUAAAGAGGAACAAAUCAAGGUGAAAGACGAGCAAAUCAAGAAAAAAGACCAGCAAAUCAACGCAAAGACAAACAAAUUAAGGACAAAGAUGACCAAAUCUAGUAUCUCAGAGACCAAAUUAAGGGCAAAGACAAACAAAUCAAGUAAAAAUACGGGAAAAUCAACGGCAACGACAAACAAAUCAAGGUGAAAGACGAAUAAAUUAAG